This 434-nucleotide ribosomal RNA is filed under the name uncultured Lachnospiraceae bacterium. RNAcentral's name for it is "partial 16S ribosomal RNA". It matches the Rfam family "Bacterial small subunit ribosomal RNA", at positions 341 to 792 of the family's 1533-position model. The record is from RNAcentral. Lineage: Bacteria; Bacillati; Bacillota; Clostridia; Lachnospirales; Lachnospiraceae.
ACGGAAGGCAGCAGUGGGGGAUAUUGCACAAUGGGGGAAACCCUGAUCCAGCGACGCCGCGUGAGUGAAGAAGUAUUUCGGUAUGUAAAGCUCUAUCAGCAAGGAAGAAAAUGACGGUACUUGACUAAGAAGCUCCGGCUAAAUACGUGCCAGCAGCCGCGGUAAUACGUAUGGAGCAAGCGUUAUCCGGAUUUACUGGGUGUAAAGGGAGCGUAGACGGCAAAGCAAGUCUGAAGUGAAAUCCCGGGGCUCAACCCCGGAACUGCUUUGGAAACUGUUUAGCUAGAGUGCAGGAGAGGUAAGCGGAAUUCCUAGUGUAGCGGUGAAAUGCAUAGAUAUUAGGAGGAACACCAGUGGCGAAGGCGGCUUACUGGACUGUAACUGACGUUGAGGCUCGAAAGCGUGGGGAGCAAACAGGAUUAGAUACCCUGGUA